CAGCAGCCGCGGUAAUACGUAGGUGGCAAGCGUUGUCCGGAAUUAUUGGGCGUAAAGGGCUCGCAGGCGGUUUCUUAAGUCUGAUGUGAAAGCCCCCGGCUCAACCGGGGAGGGUCAUUGGAAACUGGGAAACUUGAGUGCAGAAGAGGAGAGUGGAAUUCCACGUGUAGCGGUGAAAUGCGUAGAGAUGUGGAGGAACACCAGUGGCGAAGGCGACUCUCUGGUCUGUAACUGGCGCUGAGGAGCGAAAGCGUGGGGAGCGAACAGGAUUAGAUACCCCGGUAGUCCCUGUCUCUUAUAC
RNAcentral lists this ribosomal RNA (301 nucleotides) under uncultured bacterium. RNAcentral's name for it is "partial 16S ribosomal RNA". It matches the Rfam family "Bacterial small subunit ribosomal RNA", at positions 509 to 807 of the family's 1533-position model. The record is from RNAcentral.